Molecule: long non-coding RNA, 765 nt
Filed under: Gossypium raimondii (Peruvian cotton)
Lineage: Eukaryota; Viridiplantae; Streptophyta; Magnoliopsida; Malvales; Malvaceae
Description: long non-coding RNA (GRAI_LNC001534)
Source: RNAcentral
UAUUAAUGUUGCACUUGCACUGGUGUUAGUAUUGGAAUUAUGAUGUGGGCGGUUGUGGCGGGUCAAGCUAUGCUUAUUUGGAUCGAUGCCCAUGUUUAUGAGCUUCCUUCGUAAAUGUGAGUUCCAAUAAUUCUUCACUUCAUUGUCGGUACGUCCAGGCAAUCUUCCAGCUAUCAACGACCACCUGAAUUACAUUGUUUUUGGAGAUAAAUUUUAUUAAGAAUAUAUGAGAUAUCAUUUAUUAGGAUACCCUCAGGCACGUUCUUAAUCCAAAAUCUAUCCUUAAUGUAAGACAGUAUUUUAAUUUAGUCAUAGUAUUUCUUUUAUAAGGCAUAAAAGUAAGGCUUUACCUGAGCUAUUUUUAUUUGUUUAAAUUCUAAAAGUCUAAACACAAAUUUAGUGAUCAUUAGUUUUACUCAAUAUAUUGAAGUAAUAAAAGAUUUAUAUUCUUAGUUGAUACCAAUUUCGGGUUUAAUCUUACCGAUUGCCUAAGAGUGCGUGAAGCUUGAUAAUAAGGUCGUCUUCAUCUUCACCAAAGUUUCCUCUUUUAACGUCAGGCCUUAGAUAGUUUAUCCAUCUCAGCCUACAACUUUUACCACACCGAAGGAGCCCUAAAUUAUUAAACCAAUCCAAAACAACAUAAAUUAUUAGCAUACAUACAUAUAUAUAUAUAUAUGAUUCAUCCUUGAUUUGAAUUAUAGGGUAGCGGAUGCAAUGAAAUGGUAGAAACCAACCAGCAGCCUGAGGAAGAGUGCGCCAGCAACC